GGAAAAGAGUGAAUGAAAGUUAGACUCCUUGGCUACUCCCAAUUUCCUCUUUAUUUUGUAAUUUGGGAUCUGUAAAACUUUGAAUACUGGGCUUCUUUUGUAUUUUUACAAAGUAAUAAGGACAACUUAUCAUAAAAGAGUGCCAGAGACUGGGCACUUUCACCAAAAGCCUUUAGGCAGGCGACUGUUCACUGCCUCGGUAAAGACUAUGAUCAUCUUUCCUUGGCUCAGAGCACCUUAGGGAGGCCCAGGUAUCUAAUUAUGACAUCAUCUUUGUUAAUGAUCACUGUGGCUUUUCAGAACAGUCCACUUCUCUCUACAAGGAGAAAUGUUUUUCUUGGCUGACUGCCGCCACCUUCUUUUGUAUUUGAGGAAAAGGGAUGACUGUUUAGCAGCUGGUAAUUUCAGGGAUUACAAGAUAAUACUUCUUGAAGCUACUUUUCAUCCUGAAGCUAAUAUUAAGGCAACCUCAGAUUUACAAGUCUGCAAAGCAGAAAUGAAGGCACUGUAGUUGCACCACGGCCUCCAACAUAGGACAGGCACAAGACAGUUCACUAGGGCUUAAGGGGGAAGUGUGAGAACUUAUAUUUCUCUACAAAAGAAAUAAACUUUGCUAAUCGGCACUCAGAUGCUUGUUCUGUGUAUGUAAAAAAGUCAUGGGGUAUAUGAGGGGUCUGAAGGUAAGAGUAGGGACUGUACAACAUGUACAAGUCAGAGGAGUUGAUGCUGGGGCCCUUAUUCAUUCUUACCACAUUGAGAAGUUACAGUUUCCGUGUGUCUAGUAAAUAGAGUUACAGAUUAUAUUAUCUGGUUUUAACAAAACUCUCAAUAUAAGACAGGCGGCUUUUGAAAAAUGGCUGAUUCUCACAGUCAUAUUUUAACCUAAUACCCUUGUGGAAUUCAGCGAGGACAUGCUGGUAGGGACCUGACUAUUGUUACUAGUUUUGAAUGUCUCAUCUGUUACAGGGCCACUGCUCUGACCUCUCCAAGUCAGGUGUAGUCCCCACCUGCUCUGGAUUCUCCCAGGGAACCUUUGGAUCUCCUCAAGAUCUAACAACCAAUGGGUUAAUGUCUGGAAUAGUAGGAGGCCUCAAGACCCUUCCCUAGCACUAAAGACCUGUGACCAUUUCGACUGGUCUCUUCCAACUGGGAUGUUUUCUGUGAUGGGCAAGUACUUGCAUGGCUUCUGCUUUUGACCACUAUUGGAAAACGUUUCUGCAUCUUAUUCUGAUGAAGAAUGACAUAAAUAAGGGAUCUUACUUGUAAAUAUCCACAACAUGUUCUCCUUGGUCCAGAGCUCCAACAGCCAAGCUGCUGCUACUUGGCACCUGCAUGUCCUGGUGUUCUUAAGUGUGUGCUGUUCCACAUCACAGUGAUGGGGUGUGGGACUUUUGAGGGAAGAGACUUGGCCCACGGAGGACUAAAGCGUUGCCACAGAUGAGUUGGUCAUAGACAGUAUCAAAGGGGAGUUUGUUACUCAAGUUUGCAAAGGACAUUAUUAGACAACCCAACAAUCCCACAGCAGCGUGGCCAUGCAGAGACUUCCAUGACUUCAUCUAUCUACUUACGUUGCACCUAUCUACUCAGCAUCUACUAUGUGGGGCUAACUGUGGCACUGAAGAUACGGACAUGAGAAAGAGAGAGUGCCUUUGUUAAGGAGCUCACAUCCCAGUGAGAAAGCAAGGUUAAGAGAAUGAUACAAUUCAAGAUAAGAACAGACACAGAAAUGUGUCACGUGCUAUGGGACUGCAGAGAAAGGAGAGAAUAGAUCUCCCUGCGGGCUGGGAGGAGCAGUGGGGAAAGCUUCACAGAAAAGUACCUUUUCAAUUAGGCUUUAACUUUGGACAGUUGCUUUCAAAGCUGGAGGCAGGAGAAGGGAAGUAGGACAGGCAUGGAGGCACCAGCCACAGAGCACCUCAAGGCAGAGGAGAUUUGGGUGCUGUGCCACCUGGGAGGUGAGGCUGAUAGGACAGCUGUGCAUCAGGCAGGGAAGCUGGAGGGGUAGGUCAGACCAGAAUGACAUGGGUCCUGAAAGCUUUGUUAAUUACGUUACUCUGGAGGCAGUGGGGAGCCACUGAAGGUUUUAAAGCAUGGCCUCCUGUGCCAUGCUAAGAAACAGCUAAUUUUACUGAAGGCAAUGGCAAAGGACAUCAAGCAGGCAAGGAUUGUUCCAAUUUUCCCUUUGAUGAGCCCACUAGCACUAUGAGGCAGUAAUAAGGCUGCUGCCAUAGUUCACGUGAAGGAAGAAGAUGCUCUACCAGUGCAAAUGGAGUAGAGGUGAAAACAUAGAUUCAAGGUACAUUUCAGAGGGAGAGAAAGCAAGAUACUAUUCCUUCUUGUGUGUUGGGCGAUGGGGGGAAGGCAGAAGACAUGCAAGCCUGGAUGUUUCAAACCUAGUGAGUGGGCUAGAGCUGCUUCCAUUUAUGUUCCUAAGCACUGCUUUGGCAUUUAUACUGGAAUCCUAAGGGUCAAUAAGAUAUUUUUCCUUUUGUAGGGGUCAGAUUAGCUGCCAAAGCACUGGAGGAGUUGGAGGAGUUGGAGGAGUUGCUGACAUCAGCCCUUAGAGUUUGGAAUAUAGCAAUACUGCUUUAUCUGGAUUUUCCACAGGCCCCUGUUAUGGGCUGAAUUGGGUCCUCCCAAAAUUCAUGAGAUGAAGUGCUUGCCCCUAGUACCUCACAAUAUGAUUGUAUUUAAAGAUAAGUCAUUUAAAAAGGCAGUGGCAUUAAAAUGGGGUUGUUAGGGUGGACCCAAAUCCAAUAUGAUGGGUGUCAUAGCAAGAGGAGAUUAGAACACAGACAACACAGACAGAGGGACAAGGAUCAUGUGAGGUCACAGCAGGAAGGUGGCCAUCUGUAAGCGAAGGAGAGAGGUUUCAGGAGAAACCAAACCUGUCAGUAUCUUGAUCUUGGAGAUUGUAUUACUCUGUUCUCAUGCUGCUAAUAAAGAUAUACCCAAGACUGGGCAAUUUACAAAAUAAAGAGGUUUAAUGGACUUACAGUUCCACAUGGCUGGGGAGGCCUCACAAGGCAAAAGGCAAGGAGGAGCAAGUCGCAUUUUAUGUGGAUGGCAACAGGCAAACAGAGUUUCUGUGGGGAAACUCCCCUUUUUUAAAAUCAUCAGAUCUCGUGAGACUUAUUUGCUUUCAUGAGAACAGCAUGGGAAAGACCUGCUCCUGUGACUCAAUUACCUCCCACCGAGUCUCUCCCACAACACGUGGGAAUUCAAGAUGAGAUUUGGGUGGGGACACAGCCAAACCAUAUCAGACAUCUAGAGUCCAGAACUGUGAGAAAAUAAAUUUCUAUUGUUUAAGCCACCUAGUCUGCAGUGUUUUGUUAUGGGAGCCUGAGCAAACUAAUACACUUCCUAUGAAGAAAAUCUCACGUGAAGUCCAAGCCUGUCUGGUCUAAGAGAAAAAAGUCACCACCUGAGAACUGGGACCACAUUCUUUGUUCUAAUUGUUCCAGCUAGUCCAGCUUCUCCACUAACCUACUUAAUCAUUACAGACAUGGGCACUGUGACAAUGAUGGCCAGG
Molecule: long non-coding RNA, 3532 nt
Filed under: Homo sapiens (human)
Lineage: Eukaryota; Metazoa; Chordata; Mammalia; Primates; Hominidae
Description: HSALNT0179352
Source: RNAcentral